UGAGGAAUCUUGCGCAAUGGGGGAAACCCUGACGCAGCAACGCCGCGUGAGUGAGGAAGGUCUUCGGAUCGUAAAGCUCUGUCAGUUGGAAAGAAAUGUCUGAGAGUCAAUCCCUUUCAGGCUUGACGGUACCAACAGAGGAAGCACCGGCUAACUCCGUGCCAGCAGCCGCGGUAAUACGGGGGGUGCAAGCGUUGUUCGGAAUUAUUGGGCGUAAAGAGCGUGUAGGCGGCCGGAUAUGUCAGAUGUGAAAGCCCCGGGCUUAACCCGGGAAGUGCAUUUGAAACUGUCCGGCUCGAGUAGGGGAGAGGGAAGUGGAAUUCCUGGUGUAGAGGUGAAAUUCGUAGAUAUCAGGAGGAACACCGGUGGCGAAGGCGACUUCCUGGCCCUAUACUGACGCUGAGACGCGAGAGCGUGGGUAGCA
RNAcentral lists this ribosomal RNA (424 nucleotides) under uncultured bacterium. RNAcentral describes it as "bacterial SSU rRNA". It matches the Rfam family "Bacterial small subunit ribosomal RNA", at positions 355 to 770 of the family's 1533-position model. The record is from RNAcentral.